This is a long non-coding RNA of Perca fluviatilis (European perch), 1453 nucleotides long. RefSeq lists it as uncharacterized. Lineage: Eukaryota; Metazoa; Chordata; Actinopteri; Perciformes; Percidae. The record is from RefSeq and is a predicted model, not a curated record. The transcript is spliced from 4 exons.
UGGAGGGCGGUGUUUAACAUCCAGUCCCGCCUACCGGACCAUUAACGACCGCCGCCACGUGUACUAUCCUCAUCUUCUGACCCACCCUGAAACCCACCUUCAUGAAUGCGGAAGCACACAGUAACUGGACAAUGAAGGGGAUAUAGCUGCAAAUUCACUGCUGGCUUCUGCAAUCAAAUUGGAGGUUGCAUACGUUUUGAUGGAGGUAGUGUUCUCACUCUACCUGUGACCAUCAGGGCGUCUGUGGAGGUUUGGGUGAAGGACACGAACCUUGACUCUCAAAGCUUGUUGCUCUUCCCGGCCACUGCAAGAAUCCAUCACAGCCUCCACCACCCAAACCUUUCAUCGGACCUGAGAGCUCUGCAUGUUGAUGGACAAGCAGCCAGUUGUCAAGCUAAUCAAGGUGUCUGUGAGGCGCGCUGCUCUCAGUGUGGUGCUGAAGGCGUGAGUGGAAAUAAUGAGCCGAGGUCCUGUCUUUGACCCAUAGCUAAUGCUGUACACUGCAAUCCCCCUGCCCUUCUCCUUCACAAACAUCAAUGCCAGGGUUGUUGUUUCCCACAACAACCCGACUCUCACAAUUUCUCCUCCAUGUAUAAUUGCUAAUGAAGUAACUUUGGAGAUUACUAGUCGCCUGGGAAGCCCAGUAAGCCAUUACAUAAUUGAGGUUAGGGGGUAAUUGCAAGCACGCUAAAAUAUGAGAGUGUACAUGCACGGCUUCGAUAGAAUCCCAUUAACGGAAGCAUAACUGUGUUGACAUGUCUGAGACAUUCUGUAGCUUAGGUGAGAUUCAAAACUGUAUUCAUGUCCCACAGUUUGCUGCAUGCACACACAAGCUAAUUAAUGCACGAGCGGUGCAGGGGAAGAAAAGGAAAAACCUGCAAUUACAGUCAGUAUAACAAACUACUGUAAGAGCAAGAGGGGGUUAACACUUUUGCAAGGCAAGGCACUGUAUCCGUGUCACAUUCUCGACUGAGACAGGCUGAGCCCCCUAAAGGUCUGAUCCUAGAAUUGCCCCUGCCCUGGUGUAUCUGCUGUCUCAGUAUUAACGCUGCUAUAAAGGGAAAAGCCAAAGGGAACUUCAGCAGGAACUGACAGGCUGCCACCGAACUGAAGCAGGCAACCGGAGGCCAGACCUGUAAAGCAUUACAUUGUGAAAGUGUUGCUGCUGACCUCCGGUCUGUGUGUCUGAUGCUACUGCUGCUACCAGCUGUUAAUAUUUAAUGAAAGGAUGAGAUGAAUCAGUGGCUCAACCUUCAUCCAUCAUUCAUGCAUCACAAUGUGCAAUUAUUUAAGAAUGAGCAGCCAGGCAGUGCUACAGUUCUCUGGUUUAUUGGCAUUUCAUGAAACCAAUCACAAUCGUCAUGGGCAGCGCUAGGUCCCGUGUGGAGCCACAGUGCCGCUGCAAAAUAGCCUCGGGAAGGAACUUGUUUGGGUGGAACAUGUGUACCUCAAA